CAUAACCUUCACCUAUUUCCUUACCAGAGCUUCAGGUUUGGGUCCUUGUUAAAAUGAAGGUUCUCCUAGUAAUUUAAACUGCUAACAGCUGUUUGUGUCUUGAUGUGAGUCCUUGCUGUAGACUAAGUUUUGUUUUAGGAGUAGCAAAAGAGCGUUGAGGCUGAGAUGGGAGGCAAAAGAUAAUACAGAAACACAUAUUCCUGUACAUCGGGGCAUUCUUAGUGGCUUUCUAAGUUGUGAAGGCACCGUGAAACACCUAGUCAUUUAUUAUGGUUCCAUUCAAGUGAGAAACUCAUGUUGAAUCACACUCUGAUGUGUGAUCUAUGGACUACACACACACACACACACACACACACACACACACACAUCAGAAAUGUGCAUGUCCUGUCUUCCUGGAGGUGUUAGGGUUCAUUCUCAGAGUUUAAGAUUUUCCUUGCACACUAGGUUCUAAGCACAGAAAUAAAUAGAUACAAGUAAACCAUGAUCAUAGCCAGUUGGGGACCCACAUAGCAGCCUUAUGGUCAGGAGAACACUCAACUUUUCCUCAAACACAAGGUUUCCGGUACUGUGGGCUUAACAGCACAGUUUGGCCCUAAGGCUUUAUUUACCUAGCAACUUUAUAUAGCUGUGUCGGGGGCAUGGGGUGGGUGGAGAAGAUGGAGAGACAGGAGAGUCUUUACAUGGAAAACUGCAAUGGUUUUAAUUUUAUGUGUCAACUUGACUGAACUAAAGGAUGUCGAGAUAGCUGGUUAAACAUUAUAUUUGAGUGUGUCUGUGAGGGUAUAGAAGAGAUUAGCAUUUGAUUUGGCAGACUGAGUAAAGUGAUCUGUCCCCAUCUGUGUGGAUAGGCAUUGUCUAUUGCAUUGAAAGCCUGGAUAGAACAAAAAGAUGGAGAAGGUGAAUGUGUUCUCUCUCCUGUUGGAGCUGUGACAUCCAUCCAUCUCCUGCCCUUGAUCUGCACUCCUGGAUCUUAGGACUUUGGAGAAUUAUACCACUGGCUUUCCUACCAGCUUGCAGAUGGCAGAUCAUGGAACUUUUUGGCUUCCAUAAUUGCAUGAGCCAGUUGUUAUAGAAAGCCUCUUCAAAUUAAGUGGCUCCCUGACUUAAAAUGAUUCAACUUGAAAUGUCUCAACUACAAUGGUGCAAAAGUAGCACUCAUUCAGUAGAAAUUAUAAUUUGAAUUUUGAUCUUUUCCUGGGCUAGGCAUAUGUAUUAUAAUACUCUGUUUCAGUGCUGGUGAGCCACUAGCCACAUGAUCACAGGGCAAAUAACUAGUAGUCUACUGUGUUGCUAAGCUAUAACAUUCAAUAGGUACACUAGUCAACUUUGUGUUACGGUAACAAAAUGCCUGAGAUAAUUUAAAAUGAGUAAAGCGUUUAUUUUGGUUCACAGUUUUGAAUGUUUUAGUCCAUGGCUGUUUGGCUAAUUACCUGUGGCAAGGCAAUUUAUCAUGGUGUAAGCAUUUGGUGGAGGAAGUUGUUAAUCUCUUGUCAGCUGAGAAGAAAAGAGAGAGAGGAAGGGACUAGGAUGUUUAGGGGAUCCCCUCAGUAGCGUAACUUCCUUCCUUUAGGCCCUACAACUUAAAGGUUCUACCACCUCCCGGUAGCAUCACAGGCUUUCGAUAAAACCUUUAAUACAUGGGCCUUUAGGGGACACUUAUCCAAACCAUAGCAAUAGAUUACUAAGUGCAGUUUCAGUUUAUGAUAUUUUCAACUUAUCAUGGAUUUAUCAGGACAUAACUCCAUCCUAAGUUGAACACCUGUGUGUGUGUGUGUGUGUGUGUGUGUGUGUGUAGUCUAUCAUUUCUCUCUUUCUUUUUUUCUGGAGACCUUUGAAAAAUGCAGAGAUUGAAAGUGGGGAGUUCACUGUACUGCAACACUCCCUACUCCUGAGAGGGGUGGAAAAUCCUUCUCUAUGGAAAUGUUCCCCUGCCCCAUUGAGAGGAUUUGAGGAUCUGGUUCUUAGCACUCUGCUUCUGCUUAAAUAGGGUGAGCUUGCCUCAGGAAGGAGAACAAGUAGCGAAUAUAAAGAAGAGUGAGGCAAGGGGACCAACCCGUGAAGACCUUGCCCUUUCUGGCAGAGGUCUCUCUAGGAUUCAGCGGAAAUGAAGAUGUGGGAGAAGUUCCGAUUAAUUGCUUUCCAGCCCUGAGAUGGCACCUCUAUUGCCAGUCAAAGUUUUAAUUAAUCAUGCCAGCAGAUGGGCUGUCAUGGGCCCUGGCAGCCAGGGUAAUGAACUCAUUUAUUAUCCAGCUCUGUCAGUGGGAGGCCAUCGAAGCUUCUGGGAAAAGGAAGAGACACUUCUGAUGCCAGAGCUCAGGAUCUGUGCGCAGUUUGGGAAAAAAUAUCUAGAGAUACCUUGAUUUCAGACUUUCCGCUAACCCUUCAAAAGGGAAGGUGUGGUGUGGAAUGGGAUUAUGGCUCAGGUAUGUUUUAUUUUUAUAGUGCUGGGGAUCAAACCCAUGGCCUUUCACGUAUUAGUCAAGCACUCUACCACUGAGCUGCACCCCAGCCCUUGGAGAACGAGGUCUUGAUAACAUGAUAACUUAGCUGGAGCUGGAAAUGGCCCUGCUUGCUGGUACUGCUUGGAUCCACCUGACUGAUGAAGUUAAGAUGACAGAGGGGCUCCCACUGCACACUGUUUUCCCAGAGCUGGAGGACUGAGCUGUGGGAACUGGGUUUGAUCGGCUCCCUGAAAACUUCCACCUGCUGAGAGCUGCAGUUGUCUUUCUGCCAUCGUGAUGAACGUGGAGCGCAGCACAAAAGUGGGCCACGUAGAACACUGAAUUGAAAUAAAGGAAAUGAAACAACCUAUGAAAAAAACAGCAUACAAGACAAAAUCAGCAAUGAAAGUCAAUGAGGCAAACACCAUCUGGUCCUGAAAAUGAAUGGAACACAAAAGGACAGCCAUACCUCCUGGGAAGCUGCGCUCCAACAGGGUACAGAGUUGCAUUCGUGCCAGCCUGAGACUAGCCUGGCUGGGUUCAGGGGUCUCCAUCUGCCUCCAGCUCAGAAGCAGCUUUUGCCUUGUUUGUUUUUAGCAGCUCUGCACUGUCAAUCUCCUUGACUGACUUUCCCCAGUCACAUCUGGCAGGCUCUGAGGCCAGGACCAGCGCCUGGGAACCUUCUGGCACUUGGCUGGACAAACAGAGCCUUCAGUGACUGUCUCCAGCUGACAUGUCCCCCAGGCAGGCAGGGGACCGAGGGGCUCCUGCUGUCAGCUCCCAAAAAUUGAAAGUCCAGGAAUUCUCUGUAUUGCAGACCCCUCAGGAAAGUCUCUCUUCCAAAACAAGUUUUCAGGAAAGAUGAGCAAGAACUCCUUCAAAGUAAAAGCUAUGGUGGCUACGUGACAUAUUUCUGGCCAAAAUGAUACACAUGGGAGCAUCUAGGCACCAAAGCAUGGUUCUGAGAAAGCUGUAGUUUUUCCUGAAAUAAAAGAGGAAAAUGAGUGGGCCACCCCUUCUUUCUUACCUGCCUUGAGCUAUAGUAGCCCAAUUGAGAGUAUAAUGUUGCAGCUAUAGGUGACAAAUGAACAUGCUAAGAAUGUCAGAGCAGACUGCCAGAAAGAGCUUGGGUUGCUAGUGGCAUAGCCAAGCAGCUGGAAUAAUGCCAGCAGCCACCUGCUCUGGACACUUCUCUCUAUAUUUUUUAUAUAAAAAUUUUUGUAAUUUUAAAAUUUUUACA
Chinchilla lanigera (long-tailed chinchilla) is the source of this 3681-nucleotide long non-coding RNA. RefSeq lists it as uncharacterized. The record is from RefSeq and is a predicted model, not a curated record. The transcript has 5 exons. NCBI's taxonomy places the organism in Eukaryota, Metazoa, Chordata, Mammalia, Rodentia, Chinchillidae.